RNAcentral lists this ribosomal RNA (788 nucleotides) under uncultured bacterium. RNAcentral's name for it is "bacterial SSU rRNA". It matches the Rfam family "Bacterial small subunit ribosomal RNA", at positions 65 to 832 of the family's 1533-position model. The record is from RNAcentral.
AACGCGAAAGUCCCGCAAGGGAUAAGUAGAGUGGCAAACGGGUGAGUAACGCGUGGGUGACCUGCCUUCGAGCGGGGGAUAACGUUCCGAAAGGGACGCUAAUACCGCAUAACAUCCUGCCUUUGAAGAGGUGGAGAUCAAAGCCGGGGAUCGCAAGACCUGGCACUUGAAGAGGGGCCCGCGUCUGAUUAGCUAGUUGGUGAGGUAACGGCUCACCAAGGCAUCGAUCAGUAUCCGGCCUGAGAGGGCGGACGGACACACUGGGACUGAGACACGGCCCAGACUCCUACGGGAGGCAGCAGUGGGGAAUUGUUCGCAAUGGGCGCAAGCCUGACGACGCAACGCCGCGUGGAGGAUGAAGAUUUUCGGAUCGUAAACUCCUGUCGAAUGGGACGAAAAGAUUGCGGGUGAACAGCCCGUGGUCCUGACGGUACCGUUAAAGGAAACCCCGGCUAACUCCGUGCCAGCAGCCGCGGUAAUACGGGGGGGGUAAGCGUUGUUCGGAAUUACUGGGCGUAAAGGGCUCGUAGGCGGCCAACUAAGUCAGACGUGAAAUCCCUCAGCUUAACUGGGGAACUGCGUCUGGUACUGGAUGGCUUGGAUUCGGGAGAGGAAUGCGGAAUUCCAGGUGUAGCGGUGAAAUGCGUAGAUAUCUGGAGGAACACCGGUGGCGAAGGCGGCAUUCUGGACCGACAUUGACGCUGAGGAGCGAAAGCCAGGGGAGCAAACGGGAUUAGAUACCCCGGUAGUCCUGGCCCUAAACGAUGAAUGCUUGGUGUGGCGGGUAU